This 301-nucleotide ribosomal RNA is filed under the name uncultured bacterium. Its description in RNAcentral is "partial 16S ribosomal RNA". It matches the Rfam family "Bacterial small subunit ribosomal RNA", at positions 509 to 807 of the family's 1533-position model. The record is from RNAcentral.
CAGUCGCCGCGGGAAUACGAAGGGGGCUAGCGUUGUUCGGAUUUACUGGGCGUAAAGCGCACGUAGGCGGACGCUUAAGUCAGGGGUGAAAUCCCGAGGCUCAACCUCGGAACUGCCUUUGAUACUGGGUGUCUUGAGUCCGGAAGAGGUGAGUGGAACUGCGAGUGUAGAGGUGAAAUUCGUAGAUAUUCGCAAGAACAUCAGUGGCGAAGGCGGCUCACUGGUCCGGAACUGACGCUGAGGUGCGAAAGCGUGGGGAGCAAACAGGAUUAGAGACCCCUGUAGUCCCUGUCUCUUAUAC